This 309-nucleotide ribosomal RNA is filed under the name uncultured eukaryote. Its description in RNAcentral is "partial 18S ribosomal RNA". It matches the Rfam family "Eukaryotic small subunit ribosomal RNA", at positions 1470 to 1796 of the family's 1831-position model. The record is from RNAcentral.
CCCUUAGAUGUUCUGGGCGGCCCGCGCACUACAUUGGCACUGGCAACAAGAUCCUAGAUCUGGUAUUUCGGGGUAUUCUACCAACUGGUGUCGUGACUGGGAUUAACCCCUGCAAUUAUUGGUUAUGAACGAGGAAUUCCUUGUAAUCACGGUUUAUCAACCCGUGUUGAAUGCGUCCCUGCCCUUUGUACACACCGCCCGUCGCUCCUACCGAUGAAUCGUCCGGUGAAGUUCAUGGAGUCGCGGCUGCCCCAGCUGUUUUCGAAGUGAAAUGGACCUCAUGAUUUAGAGGAAGGAGAAGUCGUAACA